GCUCCUUUUUAGAGAGGUACUGUAUGUUUCAUCUCUGUAUCUAAAGGCAAAGAACCUAGAAAGUAUCAGGGAAUCAAAAAUUAUUUGUUGAUCAACUCAUGAAUGACCAACAGGAUGAAAAAUGAUGAACUACCCAGAGCCUUGGCAAGUUACUCACAAACAUAUUCAUCCAUUUUGUUUAUAUCUCCAGUUCCCAAGUCUGCUCUGUCACUCAACAAGUGAAUUCUCUUUAAUGAUAUCCAUGUUAGUUCACUGAUUAUUCAUCAGUUCCUGCCUGUUUUUCUCUGAAAUUUUCCAAUAAAUGACCACAAACAAGAAGCAGUCUAGGGACAGUGGCAGUAGCCACUGAGGACUGUUCAAAGCCAUUCAUGAAUUAACUCUCAAGAAGAGCCUUACACAAUGUCUGGAAUUAGUACGUCAUACUCAUUGUACUGGUAUACCUUGGAGAUACUGUGGGUUUGGUUCCAGACUACCUCAAUAAAGCAAAUAUCGAUAACA
Long non-coding RNA from Lemur catta (Ring-tailed lemur), 498 nucleotides. RefSeq lists it as uncharacterized. The record is from RefSeq and is a predicted model, not a curated record. Lineage: Eukaryota; Metazoa; Chordata; Mammalia; Primates; Lemuridae. The transcript has 3 exons.